CCUACGGGAGGCAGCAGUGGGGAAUAUUGGACAAUGGGCGAAAGCCUGAUCCAGCCAUGCCGCGUGUGUGAAGAAGGCCUUCGGGUUGUAAAGCACUUUCAGUGGGGAAGAAAGCCUUGGGGCUAAUACCCUCGAGGAAGGACAUCACCCACAGAAGAAGCACCGGCUAACUCCGUGCCAGCAGCCGCGGUAAUACGGGAGGGUGCGAGCGUUAAUCGGAAUUACUGGGCGUAAAGCGCGCGUAGGCGGUCUGAUAAGCCGGUUGUGAAAGCCCCGGGCUCAACCUGGGAACGGCAUCCGGAACUGUCAGGCUAGAGUGCAGGAGAGGAAGGUAGAAUUCCCGGUGUAGCGGUGAAAUGCGUAGAGAUCGGGAGGAAUACCAGUGGCGAAGGCGGCCUUCUGGACUGACACUGACGCUGAGGUGCGAAAGCGUGGGUAGCAAACAGGAUUAGAUACCCCGGUAGUC
This 466-nucleotide ribosomal RNA is filed under the name Vreelandella stevensii. RNAcentral describes it as "partial 16S ribosomal RNA". It matches the Rfam family "Bacterial small subunit ribosomal RNA", at positions 338 to 795 of the family's 1533-position model. The record is from RNAcentral. Lineage: Bacteria; Pseudomonadati; Pseudomonadota; Gammaproteobacteria; Oceanospirillales; Halomonadaceae.